GACGAACGCUGGCGGCGUGCUUAACACAUGCAAGUCGAACGGAAAGGCCCUGCUUUUGUGGGGUGCUCGAUUGGCGAACGGGUGAGUAACACGUGAGUAACCUGCCCUUGACUUUGUGAUAACUUCAGGAAACUGGGGCUAAUACCGGAUAGGAGCUCCUGCUGCAUGGUGGGGGUUGGAAAGUUUCGGCGGUUGGGGAUGGACUCGCGGCUUAUCAGCUUGUUGGUGGGGUAGUGGCUUACCAAGGCUUUGACGGGUAGCCGGCAUGAGAGGGUGACCGGCCACAUUGGGACUGCGAUACGGACCAGACUCCUACGGGAGGCAGCAGUGGGGAAUAUUGCACAAUGGGCGGAAGCCUGAUGCAGCAACGCCGCGUGCGGGAUGCCGGCCUUCGGGUUGUAAACCGCUUUCGCCUGUGACGAAGCGUGAGUGACGGUAAUGGGUAAAGAAGCAACGGCUAACUACGUG
This 468-nucleotide ribosomal RNA is filed under the name uncultured bacterium. RNAcentral describes it as "partial 16S ribosomal RNA". It matches the Rfam family "Bacterial small subunit ribosomal RNA", at positions 28 to 507 of the family's 1533-position model. The record is from RNAcentral.